AAUUGACAUUUGAAUUUUUGUUUUUGAGGUACGGAACAAUUAUUAAUGUGAAAAAGAAGGUGUAAGUAAUGAAUAUUGUUAAUUAUGAACGGAUUGUUGAAGGAAACUACAAAGAAGAGGCUCCAAUUAUUGACUGAAAUGUUAUUUUGUAUUGUGGUUACAUGGUUCAUUACCUGGAAAUGAUUUGUUAUUAUAUAAAAAUAGGUGUACUUUUUGCUUGUUCUUUUUAUGCCAUAUGUAAUAUAUAGCUGCAAAGGAUCCCACAUGGCACAGAGAUUUUUUAUAGCACAUUAGAUCACCCUAUGCCCCUUGUGUAUUUUACCCCUUUCAGAGGGGUACCAAUCACCCCUUUGAUCCUAAAAAAGGAAAAGGGGUAGCUGCUAAAAAAGGGUGUUGCAGAUGCCAAACUAUUGACCCUGUAGUUUUAAUAGUUUUUUAGUUCUGUUAAAUUUACUUUAUAUUGGGAAAAUAUCUGUUUUAAUAAUAUCAGAAACAAAUAUUAUGAAUACAUUGUGAAGAAAAUUAAAAAAUUAUUAAUCAAUCAAUAGAGAAACUUGACUGUGAUGUCACA
Megalopta genalis is the source of this 571-nucleotide long non-coding RNA. RefSeq lists it as uncharacterized. The record is from RefSeq and is a predicted model, not a curated record. NCBI's taxonomy places the organism in Eukaryota, Metazoa, Arthropoda, Insecta, Hymenoptera, Halictidae.